AGAUUUCCUCUUUUACCAGCCUACUAGUAUCCUUGGGGAUCCAUAGGGGGUCCCCUCUACACGUGAAUCAUUAACAUUUACAACCUGAUUCCAGGGCUGUCCCCAUACCCCGUCCAGUAUGGGCGCCAAAAUCAUGAACCUCAAUACCCCGUCUUGUAUGAGGGUGAAACAGGCCGUCCCCAUACCCCGUCCGGUAUAGGCGCCAAAAUAAAUAAAGUCUCCAUACCCCGUCCGGUAUAAGAGACCACUUUCCCGGUAAGGUUCCCUACGGACCCGGUCCGUCCACCAUCUCCCAGGAUAUCUAGUCAGGCUGUCCACAUUAUCCAUUUAUCAAUUCACAUAACCUUUUUGCCUUUUUCCUUGAUCUCAAUCAUCCAAUCACACACAACAUGUAACCCAGUCAUCGACACCAAAUAAGACAACACAGUAUCGGGUU
RNAcentral lists this long non-coding RNA (436 nucleotides) under Carica papaya (papaya). Its description in RNAcentral is "long non-coding RNA (CPAP_LNC011622)". Lineage: Eukaryota; Viridiplantae; Streptophyta; Magnoliopsida; Brassicales; Caricaceae. The record is from RNAcentral.